GGAGGGGUCGUGCCGGGGAUUGAAACUCAGGGGCACUCCACCACUGAGUAACAUCCCCACCCCUAUUUUGUAUUUUAUUUAGAGACAGGGUCUCACUGAGUUAAAUAGCAUCUCGAUUUUGCUGAGGCUGGCUUUGAACUCGUGAUCCUCCUGCCUCAGCCUCCGGAGCUACUGGAAUUACCGGAGUGAUGGCACAUGCCUGGCAGUGUGUUAUUGUUUAUAAGAGGGCCCAGCACAUAGGAAGCAUCAGCUUUUACAACACCAUCAUCAGCAUGACAAAAAGCUUCCUGAAGAAAGGCAACCAUAUUCUAAAACCCACAGGGCAGAAAAAAAAAAAAGAAACUUUAAUCCCUUAUUGUUCACUUCUUUUGGUAAUUCAGUUAUUAAUUUCACUUAUGUGCAACUUGUGACUUACACUAGUAAAUUGAUCAUUAGAACAGGAGACACUCAACAGUCAACAAUAUAAAAUCAUAAUAUUACUUAGCCUUUCUUUCACACUCCAGUGGUCGAAGGACAAGAAUAAGGAUGAAGGUCCUCCUACCAUCUGCCUAAAUAUGAACAGUUACAAAUCAAGAUAAUAAACUAAGUAAAAAAGGAUCUCUUCUCAUACAUUGACCCAUAUGCUCUCACAGAAACCUGAAAAUCCAGGGUGGAAUUUCAUUCUGACUCCUUCCCUAGUCUACUCCCUAAUUUCUCACCCCAGGCUCAGUCUUGCACCAUGAAGGACCUCACACAGGGGCAAAGAUAUGUGUGCCUUUCCUGCUCCCCACACCCACAAAUCCCAGCUGUUUACAUGCCUACCUUCUCUUGGCCUAAGGGUGAACUUCAGGUUGAACUUCAGUGAACCAGGAAAGAGGGUUUUUGUGUUUGUUUGUUUAUUUUUUUCUUUUUGUAGUUGUAGAUGGACAGCAUGCUUUUGUUUUUUAUUUUUAUGUGGUGCUAAGGAUUGAACCCAGUGCCUCACGUGUGCUAGGCAAGCACUCUGCCAUUCAGCUACAGCCCCAGCCCAGGAAAGAGGUUUUUGAAGGCCUUGGAAAGUAGCUUCUUUAAGCAGGAAUCAGGGAGUGGAUACCUGUAAUGUGUCCUACAAGGGAAUAUGUGUGUGUAAGCUUCUGAUGGCAUGUCCUCUGACCCUGGAGCCUCCUUGCCUUGUUCAAAUAAGUAGCCAGAGGAGAGUCAGAACAGGCUUAUAAUAUACAGAAGCUAAGGGCACCGUCCUCUUGCCCAGGUCUAAGGGUAGUAGUGAUGUAACUUUAUUUAGUUGCUAUAUGAAAUCAUUGUAUCAAAUUGAUUCUGUGGUAGUAUACAACUGUUGAUUUUAUUGAUUUUAGUGUGACCAAAAUUUUACUAAUAACCCUCACCAAAAAAAUAUGCAUUACAUUUUUAGGAUAUUUUAUUUAGGUCCACCCCCACUCAGGUUAGCUUUCAUCUCAGGGGGAGAUGAAAUUCCCAAACAAUAUAGCUAUUUUAUAAUUAUUUCCAGUAAAUAGCAUAGAGGAAGCAGAUGAUACAGAUUUAGUAUCAUUUAUUAGGAUGAUAUUAGCCAUUUAUUAGGCCAUUUUAGGAGAGUCUAAAAUUAAGUAUAAUUCAAUAAUAGAUAAUUCAAAAUAAUGACAAUUUGCAUUCUAUGGUUAAUUCAUUAAUACCAUGAAAAUCUAGAUGGAGGACACCCUCUACUAACAAUACAUAGUGAAUGAAAUAUUUCUAAUGUGUUUAUGUUAAAAAUGUGCAUUCUAAAUGGUGACAGACUUUAAUAAUUCAGGGUUCUUCACUUUGAAUAUUUAAUUUGCUG
Molecule: long non-coding RNA, 1792 nt
Filed under: Marmota monax (woodchuck)
Lineage: Eukaryota; Metazoa; Chordata; Mammalia; Rodentia; Sciuridae
Source: RNAcentral